This 253-nucleotide ribosomal RNA is filed under the name uncultured bacterium. RNAcentral describes it as "partial 16S ribosomal RNA". It matches the Rfam family "Bacterial small subunit ribosomal RNA", at positions 524 to 776 of the family's 1533-position model. The record is from RNAcentral.
UACGUAGGGCGCAAGCGUUGUCCGGAAUUAUUGGGCGUAAAGAGCUCGUAGGCGGCUUGUCACGUCGGGUGUGAAAGCCCGGGGCUUAACCUCGGGUCUGCAGUCGAUACGAGCAAACUAGAGUGUUGCAGGGGAGACUGGAAUUCCUGGUGUAGCGGUGAAAUGCGUAGAGAUCGGGAGGAACACCAGUGGCGAAGGCGGCUCGCUGGGCCGGCCCUGACGCUGAGGCGCGAAGGCGUGGGGAGCGAACGGG